AAGGAGGCUCUAAGCAUGUUAGAAAAUUCUCUAUAUCCAUCAACGUGCCUUAAUGAUUGGCGAAUAACGCAGAAGGCUAGACAAGCCUUGCUCCUAGUAGAGAAGCUCUCUAUUGCUGAUUACAUGAACAAAUUCCCAUGCCUAAAGGUGCAAAAUGCAAAACAGUUGUUUGAACUCGAUUUUGGCGAACUAAAACCAGAGAAAAGUCAUCUCUUUAGUAUACGGUGACACAUUGUGAAAACAAUCCUAAUAAAGCAAUUGCAAAUACUAGAUACGGAUCAAAAAAAGAAAAAGAAAUUGAACGUCGAUGAGAUAGCUUUGAUAAAGUUGUUGUUAACUUUAGAGCCUGAAAAUCAAGAUUCCGUAGUAUUGUAUUUGCUGCAAUUGUUGAUCGGAACAGGUCAAACUGGGAAAUGAAAGAGAGGUGAACCCCUUGAAACUGUGAAAAGUACAAGCCGGGUGACAUUCGGCACAGUUUCAUUUAUCGAGUUGAGAAAACGGAAGAUAUUGACCAGGAAGUGAAGCAGCUGAAAAAUAAAGCAUUUGCAAGGAAAGAAACGUUACAGCUAUUUAUGUUUAUCUUGGGACCACUAAUAAAAAUCGAGGAAC
This is a long non-coding RNA of Belonocnema kinseyi, 609 nucleotides long. RefSeq lists it as uncharacterized. Lineage: Eukaryota; Metazoa; Arthropoda; Insecta; Hymenoptera; Cynipidae. The record is from RefSeq and is a predicted model, not a curated record. The transcript has 4 exons.